This 64-nucleotide transfer RNA is filed under the name Clibanarius infraspinatus. Its description in RNAcentral is "tRNA-Ile". The record is from RNAcentral. Lineage: Eukaryota; Metazoa; Arthropoda; Malacostraca; Decapoda; Diogenidae.
GACACAGAUCUUUAGAAAUUAACGCUGAUAAUGUUAAUUAGUAAUUUAAUUAUUACCUGUGUCU